AGAAGCUGGAAGAGGCAUGGGAAUGGAGCCAUGGCCCAUGUUAGGCUUCUGUCCCACAGGACGGUGCCUGCUGCCGGCCGUGUGCUGGAUACUAGGGGCUGCGGACAGGUGCAGAAGUCAGUCACAUCCUGAGCUUGACCUUUAAGGAGGGUGCUGUCUGUGGAGGCGGGAUGGCCUAACCAGACUCCCUGUGACCUUCCUCCUUGCUGAUUUCCUUGUACUGCCACCCCCAGGAGAUUUGCCAUGGAAUCUGCAGAGGGACCACAGAGCACCAGCCUGCAUGGAACUUCCUUCUUUCACUCAGCUUCCCACCUUGCCAGCUGGGACAGGGGAGAUGGAGUAGUUUUGCUCUGGAAAGACUUCACGUCUUGCCGAAUGAAAGAGCAAAGCUACUGCUAGGGUCGGGGGUUCAUCAAGCCAAGGGAGUACGAAUGCCCACAAAGUAGUGAAAUGCUAUUUCUUCUGGAAAAGUCAGCCUCCAGCGCCUGCAGCUUCAGGAACUAAGAUGUGACUGUGCUUGCAGAGGCGCUGACUUCUCC
Molecule: small RNA, 539 nt
Filed under: Pongo abelii (Sumatran orangutan)
Lineage: Eukaryota; Metazoa; Chordata; Mammalia; Primates; Hominidae
Description: processed transcript
Source: RNAcentral